CCACUACACCCAUUACAUCCACUCAUUACCAAACAUUCACCCACUACACCCAUUACAUCCACUCAUUACCAAACAUUCAUCCACUACGCCCAUUACAUCCACUCAUUACCAAACAUUCACCCACUACACCCAUUACAUCCACUCAUUACCACAACAUACACCACUACCACCUUAAUUAGAUGGUAGUCCUCUCCCUAGCCUAUAAAUACAUCCACCCUUCACCAUAACAAGAGAAAGGGGGGGGGAGAAUAGAUCCAUCCAAAGACACUACAUUCACAUCUCACAACUCCAUACACUUACACUUUCAUUCCUUGGGUGAGAACACAAGCUCUCUUUUCUCUCUAAAGAGGCCGGCCACCCUAGAGGAAAAAAGCUAGCAAUCUUACUUCCUCUAGGUCACUCAUUUCUUCAUCAAUCUUUCCUUGGUGUGGAGACUUAGAGGUUCUUAACUUUGAGAACUUGGAGAAACCAAUUCUUCCAUCUAAAUCCAUGGAGCUAAGAAGCAAGGAAUGAAGACCCUAUCUCUUGGGUGAUUAUCCUUUGCUUAUGCAAAGAGGAAUCAACAAAGAUAUAAUUUCUCAACUCACUUUGUUUUGAGUUGAGUCUUGGUUCACCUAACUACUAGGCUUUGAAUUUAAUGGGUUAUGUUUUGUUUUGAGUGCAUGCAAGCAUGAUUCCGCCUUUAAUUUGUUAAUUGCAUGCUAUAGAUGUUGCUCAAAUGAACAUGUUUUUCACAAAAUUUCCUUCAUAAUGGAGGUGCCACCAUGGUGGGUGGCUGUUGAGGAGUAGUAUGGCGAAGAGGGUGGUGCUGAUUUUGUUUGUUUGCUUUUUAUUUAAUUUAAAUAAGCGUAAAAAAAGGAAGUCCAAACCAAAUUAAAGAAAGUGGCGUGUAUUCAUAAUAUUGUGGGGUGCUAAUAAAACUACCAAAAAACAAAGAUGUAAAUGUUUAAUCUCACAAUUUUAGAAGCUAAGCAUCUGUAUUAAAACGCCUCUAUAAAUUAUGUGCCAGCCAAUAGGUAAUUAAUGCGUUACUAAGGCUUUUAGCGAAAAUGGUCCAUGAGAUUUGCAUAACACAUCACUUUGGUCUCUGAGAUUGAAAAUCAAUAGAAAUGGUCCCUAAGAUUGUCCUGAUGUAAUAUAAAAUAGCACACAAACUUAAACCCUCAUUUUGAUAGUUGUAGUAUGUGUAAGUAGGGAUCGCUCUAGGCUAGGGAUUAAGAGGGCUGCUAAUCUACACAAAUUAAACUCUAAAUCACUAAAAUAGACUUAAAAACAGAAAACUAAACUUAAACUACUAAAAAUAAGCUAACUGAUUCAAAACACACAAACUAAGUUAAAUUGACUCGAAACAGGAACUAAAGGGAAGUUUGGACGAAAAUUAAACUAAAAAGACUCAGAAUACUAAAUGGGGGGUCGUUUUGACGAAUUUAAGAUUUAAGCAAACAAACUUGCAGAAACAAACUAAAGGGUACAAAAUUGGGUGAAUUAAGGGGGUGAAAGGCUAGCUAGAGGAUCCUUCUCCACACAUGACACAUAUGCAUACAAAUCGAUUUCCAAUUAUUCUUCCUAUAAACCAUGAAUUACAAUGCCCUAAGUUAACCGUAAACUGCACAAAUUAACCAUCAGAUUUUCCUAACUUCAUUGAAUUGGACUCAGUGAUGCAACCAAAUUAUUCUUAUCAAGUUCCCUACAUGAACUGCAUAAUAGAGAUACAUAUCAAAGAUCAUUAAGUUCUGUGAAAAUCAUAAGCAUUGACAUGACAUUCAUAACUAUGAACUGCAUGAUACUCAUGCCAGGAAUUUACUUAACGCGAUCGUGACUAGCAACCUCCACUACUUGUAAAUAUAAGUUCAUAACUAUUAGGUGAAACUCCCUUAUAUUUUAGCAUCAAAUUCAUGCAUGCAAACUAAGUGGGCCCUGUUAAUCAACACAUAAGAACAAGUUAUCAAUCAAACAGUUAAGUAAAUUGCACUCACAAUUUAUGAAAUAAUAACUGGAUGUAAUCAAUUCAUAUCACAUAUAUGUUCAUGGCUUUGAAUCCACCUCCAACUAAAACGAAAUUAGUUCCUCUUGUUUGCAAUUAAACAAAGACAAUUAAAAUUAAACAUUGAAAACAAAAGAUAUAAUACACCUAGAAAUGCUCCAACAAUCCAAAGGUCUUGAAUGGCAGGCACGGCUCUAAGCUUCUUCUUCUCCUUCCUUGCAAAGCUAUAGCACAAGUGUGUUUUUUUUAUUUUAGGCUCUUGUGUGUGUUCUCAAUGGUGUGGCAUUGUGGUGUAUUUAUAGGCUGAAGGCACACGGUACAAGGUAGUUUUGGAGAAGGAUUUGGCACUCCAAAGGUUGUGUUGGAAAGGGAUUGCACAUCACAAACCAAUAGGUACAAGGAUCUAGGGUGUGGCAGAUUUCUAGGCUUCUAGAAAGAGGGUGUUGUGGUAGGUUUCUAGAAGGACAAGGGAUAAGGUAUGCGGCACCCUUUUAGGAAAAGGUAAGGCCUUCUAAAAAUCAGGUUUUUAGAUGUCAUAAUAUGAAAAUAACUCCCCCUUGCAGCUGGAAUUUAGUUAGAAUAGGAUUAGGAUAAGGUUAGGAUAAGAUAAGAUAAGGUUUUGGAUAAUGUUCCUUCUCUUUAGCUGAUUCCUUGUCUUCUAUGUCUUGAAUUAAUUUCUUCAACUCUUUAGCACAUUCCUAGCCUCUUUUGAUCUUCAAAAACGUCCAUCCACCUUGCUCCAUUCAUAUGUUGUCUAUUCCCAGCCCAAAACUGCUCUAAAAUGCUCCAAAUCGCCUUUUUUUUGCCACUUUUUCCAUUUAAACCUACAAACACACGAAAAUGGCUUAAAACACUCUAAAAAACAUAGAAACUAACUACGUAAAUGCAAGGAAACAAGUUAACUAAGUUGCAUAAAUAUGCUCCUAUCAUGUCCACCAUCCAUUAUUUUGGUCAUUCCGUUAAAAACUUCAUUAAGUGUCCCGGAGCUCUUAGCCGAAAGUUUGGGCAAUUUUCAAAGUUUCGUAACUCAAUCAUUUCUUAACCAAAUUUAACCCAUAAUAUAUCAAAAUGAAGAUAGGAAAGUGUAGAACAAGAUUAUACCUAUUUGGAAGCCCAAUGGUUUUUGGAGAUGGCUGGAAAAUAGCCUGAAAGGUGACUGGUCCUCAGGAAAACUGAAAAACUCGCCAGAAAUUGGGUAAACUUUAAAUGUUCAUAACUUUUUCAAAACUUAACUAAAUCGACUGAUUCAAAAACGAAAAUCAUAGUUCUUGAUGAGAUGAAGAGACUGAUACCUUUCUCGAUGCUAAAUUUGUUGGAAAUGUGCCCUAAAACCAAUCAUGUGAUGAUGCUUUACGGACAUUUCACAUGUUAAACUAAUC
RNAcentral lists this long non-coding RNA (3363 nucleotides) under Malus domestica (apple). RNAcentral describes it as "long non-coding RNA (MDOM_LNC021040)". Lineage: Eukaryota; Viridiplantae; Streptophyta; Magnoliopsida; Rosales; Rosaceae. The record is from RNAcentral.